This 382-nucleotide ribosomal RNA is filed under the name uncultured bacterium. Its description in RNAcentral is "bacterial SSU rRNA". It matches the Rfam family "Bacterial small subunit ribosomal RNA", at positions 32 to 405 of the family's 1533-position model. The record is from RNAcentral.
AAUCAACGCUGGCGGCGUGCCUCAGACAUGCAAGUCGAACGAUUAAAGCUCUCUUCGGAGAGUGCAUAAAGUGGCGCACGGGUGAGUAACACGUAAGUAAUCUACCUUCGAGUGGGGAAUAACGUCCGGAAACGGACGCUAAUACCGCAUAAUGCAGCGGCAUCGCAAGAUGACAGUUGUUAAAGAUUUAUCGCUUGAAGAGGAGCUUGCGGCAGAUUAGCUAGUUGGUAAGGUAAUGGCUUACCAAGGCUACGAUCUGUAACCGGUCUAAGAGGACGGUCGGUCACACUGACACUGAAUAACGGGUCAGACUCCUACGGGAGGCAGCAGUCGGGAAUUUUGGGUCAAUGGGCGAAAGCCUGACCCAGCAACGCCGCGUGAA